AAAUUGAAGAGUUUGAUCAUGGCUCAGAUUGAACGCUGGCGGCAGGCCUAACACAUGCAAGUCGAACGGUAGCACAGAGGAGCUUGCUCCUUGGGUGACGAGUGGCGGACGGGUGAGUAAUGUCUGGGAAACUGCCCGAUGGAGGGGGAUAACUACUGGAAACGGUAGCUAAUACCGCAUAACGUCGCAAGACCAAAGAGGGGGACCUUCGGGCCUCUUGCCAUCGGAUGUGCCCAGAUGGGAUUAGCUAGUAGGUGGGGUAACGGCUCACCUAGGCGACGAUCCCUAGCUGGUCUGAGAGGAUGACCAGCCACACUGGAACUGAGACACGGUCCAGACUCCUACGGGAGGCAGCAGUGGGGAAUAUUGCACAAUGGGCGCAAGCCUGAUGCAGCCAUGCCGCGUGUAUGAAGAAGGCCU
This 420-nucleotide ribosomal RNA is filed under the name Citrobacter freundii. RNAcentral's name for it is "bacterial SSU rRNA". It matches the Rfam family "Bacterial small subunit ribosomal RNA", at positions 1 to 417 of the family's 1533-position model. Lineage: Bacteria; Pseudomonadati; Pseudomonadota; Gammaproteobacteria; Enterobacterales; Enterobacteriaceae. The record is from RNAcentral.